UUCAGCUUUAGACAAAGAGCACCCUUCUCGCGGACAAAGCAUCCCGGCGCUGCCCGGCCCUGGCUUCGCUUCUCCGCGGCCACUUUUCUCCCCUGGAAGGUGGCGAGGGCCCUGACUCCGGACCCGCUGUCGCUCAGCCGGGCUUUUGAGACAUUUGGUCCCCGCAGCUGUCUGCAGCUGGAGGAGGAAACACGAGGGAGCGUGGGCUGGCAGGUGCCUGGGAGGGAGAGUGGGAUCUCUCGGCUCUUCUCUGACUCCUCCCGAAAAAGCAGUCCCCGGCACCAGCCAGCCCUGCUCACCGCUCGAGGACAAAGUACGGCCGGGGCCAUCGGCAUCAGAAAUGAGCAGGGCAACGUUUUGUCCCGCGUUGGGCUUCACUGCGCCGAAAGCCGGUGCUUUUCUCCUGCAGGGGAGCGGGUAUAUGCUCCAAAUAUGCCUUUGCUCUCCUACCCGCAUCUGCUCUAGGUCUGGUAAUGAAAGGAUACAGCAGCAUACGGACACGUAGAACCCCUGUUGAAGACUUAGUAAAAUCCUCCACACUGCAACCGUUUGCAUUGUGGGGGCAGAGCAGCAGGGAAAAGGAGAUUUUGAGUCAUCUGUGUUUCACGGGAGUCCAGCGCUGCUGCCCUUGCACUGGGAGCAGCAGAGUUGGACCAAAGCAGAGCGAACAGUCCCCACAGCUCUACUCUUCCAGGCUCUCCCAGAUACAAGACCCUACCUUCCUACACCACAAACUAGGAUGGCAGUCACUGGGUGACACACCUUCGGAGCCCACCACCUAAGCUGCCGGAGAAUCAAAUUCCAUCACAGCAGCCUCCAGAGAGCUCGCUAGGAAAGGCUGACUUCCUUGGCUGGUUCAUGCAAAAGCACAGGGAGCUGCACCCCUCCUGCACACUCCUUGCUGGCAGAACAAGAUGCCACAUCCCGCGUGUCACCGUCACGCAAGCGAUUUUCCCUGACGCCAGGGCACUCUGUUUUUUUCCAGGAUCGGAGCUGAUUUGCAAAGUGAAUAGGUUUUUAUCUGAUAAAUAGAUAGAGCUUCGAAUUCGAAGGCAUCCUUCCCUGAAGGCAGCUAGCAUUCUGUGAGACUCCACCAGGGACCACAAACACAGGCAGUGGCUCUGGCAGCGCUGGGGAAUGAAGCAAAACACUUCUCACCAGCACAACCACUUGUUCAGUUGCAGUGAGGAUGCCUCGAUGCAGAUGAGGAACCUGCAGCCACAUCAAUGAAAUGCAAGUAGCGGCUGGAGCCUUGUCUGUGCUAAGGCUCCUGCCAGCACAGCUGUACCACUGACAGCAGUGGAAUAUUUUGCUCAAGUUCUCUAGAGGAAUCAAAGCCUGUAUUUUCUGUCUCUGGCUCUCCCUUGUUCUGUUGCUCUUCAGUCAUUAAAAGAAAAGUCAGCCACACAAA
Long non-coding RNA from Apus apus (common swift), 1411 nucleotides. RefSeq lists it as uncharacterized. The record is from RefSeq and is a predicted model, not a curated record. The transcript is spliced from 2 exons. NCBI's taxonomy places the organism in Eukaryota, Metazoa, Chordata, Aves, Apodiformes, Apodidae.